GUAGGUGGCAAGCGUUGUCCGGAAUUAUUGGGCGUAAAGCGCGCGCAGGCGGUUUCUUAAGUCUGAUGUGAAAGCCCACGGCUCAACCGUGGAGGGUCAUUGGAAACUGGGGAACUUGAGUGCAGAAGAGGAAAGUGGAAUUCCACGUGUAGCGGUGAAAUGCGUAGAGAUGUGGAGGAACACCAGUGGCGAAGGCGACUUUCUGGUCUGUAACUGACGCUGAGGCGCGAAAGCGUGGGGAGCAAACAGGGAUUAGAUACCCUGGUAGUCCACGCCGUAAACGAUGAGUGCUAAGUGUUAGAGGGUUUCCGCCCCUUUAGUGCUGCAGCUAACGCAUUAAGCACUCCGCCUGGGAGUACGGUCGCAAGACUG
RNAcentral lists this ribosomal RNA (372 nucleotides) under uncultured organism. Its description in RNAcentral is "partial 16S ribosomal RNA". It matches the Rfam family "Bacterial small subunit ribosomal RNA", at positions 527 to 896 of the family's 1533-position model. The record is from RNAcentral.